UCAAGGUGUUAGUUUGUAUCCCUGGAUGCGGCAGAGAAUGGACCCAAUGUUGCUUGGAAAUUAUCCUAAUCAGCAGUACGGGUACCAAGCCAUGUUGGCUGCUGGCAUGCAGAACCUAGGAAGUGCAGAUCUCCUAAGACAUCAAGUUAUGCAAUUUCAGCAGCCUUUACAGGGUCUUCAACAGCCAGGGAGCCAUACUUCACUCUUGCAGCAGCAGCAGCAGCAACAACAGCAACAAGAAGAAGAAGCAAUUCCUCUUAAUAUCCUGCAGGCACAAACCCAAGUUUUAUCAGAGAACAUGCCACAGCACCUUAUAUGGCAAUCACUUAACAACCAACAAGAGGAUCAGGCAUGGCAACAGCAACAUACCUAUCAGAAUACACUUCAUAUUCGAAGUGAUCAGCUGCAUCAGAGGCUGCAGUCAAAUGUGCCUUCUUCAUCCUUUGUGAAGGCAGACUUCAUGGAUCCAAGUACAAAGUUCUCAGCAUCCAUUAGCCCUAGACAAAACAUGGUCAGUUCACUUUGUCCUGAAGGGAGUAGCAAUAUUUUGAACUUCUCCAGAGUUGGUCAGUCCAUGCUAGCUGAGAAGUUACCCCAACAAUCAUGGGCUCCAAAGUAUUCACAUUCAAAGGUUGAUGAUUUUGCCAACUCAAUGUCACACUCACCUUAUCCUGGGAAAGAUGCUACUGAAGAGCCAGAAAUUUGUAACUCUGCUUCUCAGAAUCCUACUUCUUUUGUUGUUCAUGUUGAUUCAUCUGGACUUCUACUCCGUGCCACUAUGUCUACUUUUGCUACAUCAGUUGAUGCUGAUGUGUCCUCAAUGCCAUUAGGGGAUACUGGAUUUCAGAAUUCUCUGUACGGUUCAGAGCAAGACUCCUCUGAGUUAUUGAACAGUGCAGGGCAAGUUGAUCCACCAACCCCAUCUCAGACUUUUGUCAAGGUUUAUAAAUCAGGGUCGGUUGGGCACUCACUAGACAUCUCCCGGUUCAGCAGCUAUAUGAGCUGCAAGAGGAGCUGGCGCAGAUGUUUGGAAUUGAGGGAAAGUUUGAAGACCCUCUUAUAUUAGGCUAGUAGCUUGGAUGUGUUGACAGGGAAAAUGAUGUGCUUCUCCUUGGAGACGACCCAUGGGAGUAGGGCGUUUGUCAAUAAUGUUUGGUAUAUAAAGAUAAUUUCACCCGAGGGUGUCCAUAAAAUGGGAGAGCAAGCAGUUGAAUCCUUCAGCCCACAAGGUGGUCAAAGGCUGAAUUGCAGUAGUGGUGAAGCUCAAGACCUUGUCUCAGGGCUACCAUCUCUUGGCAUGCUCGGGAACUGAGGUUGAGGUUAAUAUAAAAGCAUAUUACAUAUAUUCCCAGAAAUUGUUUCUAGUUUCACUCGCUGAUAAAUCCAAAUAUUGGAUAUACUAGUUUUGGUGUGUGACCCUGCCUAUUUGCCUUUGUUUGGCUCGCAAGUAUGUUGUAUAACCUUUUUUUUCUAAGACUCUAGUAUUAAUGGGUUUGACUCUUAUGGAGAAAAAUAUAAGCUCACUACCUAGAUAAAAAAAUUAGAACUAUUGAAUUUCUAGCACCUUGAAACCUGUGUCCUAAAAUCAUGCUGGUGGUAUUGCUUUCAUGAAAGUAGCAUUUGACACUCAAGUUUGCUGCAUUUAGUUUGUCCUUGUUAAUGCGGAUACCAUCAUUUUGAGG
RNA transcript from Quercus lobata, 1682 nucleotides. It is a transcript of the gene named auxin response factor 8-like, with no coding region annotated. The transcript is spliced from 3 exons. NCBI's taxonomy places the organism in Eukaryota, Viridiplantae, Streptophyta, Magnoliopsida, Fagales, Fagaceae. The record is from RefSeq and is a predicted model, not a curated record.